This is a long non-coding RNA of Canis lupus familiaris (dog), 464 nucleotides long. RefSeq lists it as uncharacterized. The record is from RefSeq and is a predicted model, not a curated record. The transcript has 2 exons. Lineage: Eukaryota; Metazoa; Chordata; Mammalia; Carnivora; Canidae.
GCGGCUCCGGCCCGAGCACUGCCUCUUGGCUGCGCCUCAGGGUCGCCUGCCGGGCCCGGGCCGCGGACCCGCUGGCUUCUCCGCGGUCUCAGAGGUGGCCUGGGGAGGCCCAGGCCGGAGGAGCGCCCAGUGCCCGCACCCACCCCCGCCACAUCCGUCCUCACCCUCUCUCGGGCUUCCGCGCCUUCAUUCCCGAGCGGCCAUAUACCUUGAAUGGGUCAUCCCUGCCUGCCGCCCUAGAGCUGCCUCUCGAAGCCCUGGGGUUGAACAUUAACCAGCCGGAGCUAUAGAGUGGGUGAGAAACUGAAGCCUCCUGCCAACAGCCAUGUGUGUGAGAUUGAAAGUGAAUUCUCCAGUUCUCUGAAUGACGGCAGUCCUGGCCAACAACUUGACCCGACACCUAAGCUGCUCCCAGAUUCCUCACCCUCAAAACUGGAUGAGAUAAUAAAUAUUUAUUGUUUUAA